Molecule: long non-coding RNA, 272 nt
Filed under: Lathyrus oleraceus (garden pea)
Lineage: Eukaryota; Viridiplantae; Streptophyta; Magnoliopsida; Fabales; Fabaceae
Description: Pisum sativum (pea) long non-coding RNA (PSAT_LNC030504)
Source: RNAcentral
UUCAAUAUCAUACUCAGAGUCACUUGAAGGUGCUUCCUUCCUUUUCUUAGUAGGAGCCACAACCUUGCUCCAACCUUUAGCAGGUCCAACAAUAAAACUUUACUUGGGAGCCUUAGAUGGCUUUCUUUCAGAUGCAACAUCCUUCCCUAUUUUAUUCCUUAAUCUUUUAGCAAUACUCGAAGCAAAUCAAUUUGUAAUAGGCUUAUCAUCAGAAUCUAGAUCAUCAACAUUUACAAUAUUAAUAGACUUAUCCUUCUUCACACCAGUAAUUU